RNAcentral lists this transfer RNA (75 nucleotides) under Nitrospiraceae bacterium. Its description in RNAcentral is "tRNA-His". It matches the Rfam family "tRNA". Rfam says of the family: Transfer RNA (tRNA) molecules are approximately 80 nucleotides in length. Lineage: Bacteria; Pseudomonadati; Nitrospirota; Nitrospiria; Nitrospirales; Nitrospiraceae. The record is from RNAcentral. RNAcentral also lists the same sequence under 1 other name.
GUGGGUGUAGCUCAACGGCAGAGCACUGGACUGUGGCUCCAGGUGUUGUGGGUUCGAAACCCAUCACCCACCCCA